AGUAUUUUGACUAUACAAAGGUAUUGAAAUAAGGCUUUAAUUGAGUGCUAAGAGAAUGGAAAUACAGAAAUUAACUUUCUUAAUUUUAAUUAUUGAAGUUAUUUUUAUUUGUGAAGAAACAAUAAUUUUAAUCAAGGACAAGAAGACCCUAAGAAUUUUUAAAAAUUAAAUCAAUUUUCAGAAUUAGGUUAAUUUUUUUAAUUGGGGCGAUUAAUUAAAAUUAAAAACUUUUUAGGAAAAAAAAGAACCGUUAAUAACGGUCAAUUGGAAAAAUACUCUAGGGAUAACAGCGUAAUAAUUUUUGAUAGUUCAUAUUGACAGAAUAGUUUGCGACCUCGAUGUUGGAUUAGGAUAUUUUUUUAGUGAAGAAGUUAAAAAAAAGAGUUUGUUCAACUUUUAAAUUCCUA
Molecule: ribosomal RNA, 407 nt
Filed under: Amblyomma pseudoparvum
Lineage: Eukaryota; Metazoa; Arthropoda; Arachnida; Ixodida; Ixodidae
Description: partial 16S ribosomal RNA
Rfam family: Bacterial large subunit ribosomal RNA (bases 283-407)
Source: RNAcentral